RNAcentral lists this ribosomal RNA (428 nucleotides) under uncultured bacterium. RNAcentral describes it as "partial 16S ribosomal RNA". It matches the Rfam family "Bacterial small subunit ribosomal RNA", at positions 355 to 776 of the family's 1533-position model. The record is from RNAcentral.
UGGGGAAUAUUGGACAAUGGGCGAAAGCCUGAUCCAGCCAUGCCGCGUGUGUGAAGAAGGUCUUCGGAUUGUAAAGCACUUUAAGUUGGGAGGAAGGGCAGUAAAUUAAUACUUUGCUGUUUUGACGUUACCGACAGAAUAAGCACCGGCUAACUCUGUGCCAGCAGCCGCGGUAAUACAGAGGGUGCAAGCGUUAAUCGGAAUUACUGGGCGUAAAGCGCGCGUAGGUGGUUCGUUAAGUUGGAUGUGAAAUCCCCGGGCUCAACCUGGGAACUGCAUUCAAACUGACGAGCUAGAGUAUGGUAGAGGGUGGUGGAAUUUCCUGUGUAGCGGUGAAAUGCGUAGAUAUAGGAAGGAACACCAGUGGCGAAGGCGACCACCUGGACUGAUACUGACACUGAGGUGCGAAAGCGUGGGGAGCAAAAGCA